CAUUAAACUUUAAAAUCUCUUUAUCAACAGUGUUUAUGUUUGUUAGCUUGUCAGUUCUUUCCUUAUCACUGUUUCUUAUAUAUCAUGCUUUGUGGAUUGGGUUUUUUGUUUUUUUGUUUUUUUUUUUAGAUUUUUAUGUUUCUUUUUUUAUUAAGGAAAAAAAAAUCUGUAUUGAUAGAUGGUUUGCAGAACUUGUGCCAGUCACUAAGCUGUUCAGUUUCGAUUGAGCUAGGCCUCUCAUUACAAGGCUGCAGCAUUCUGCUGGCAGGCUUUUACCAUUGGUGUGAUUCAUGGUCACGGAACAGAUCUGCAAGAGAAGACCCUCCCAGGAUGCUGAAAUGCUGAACUGAUGAUUUAAACCCACAUGAUGAAGGACUCUGACAGCAACCAGGUUGAUUGAAGAAGGAAGGGAUGUGAGGAAGGUGAAAGUGCUUCUGAAAGAGUAUUUGAAGUGACAAGCCAUGGAGGUCAGACUGAAGAGUGAAAAGAAGCGAUGCAACAAUGGGGCUGAUAAGUCGGCAAGAGAAGAAAGAUCAAGAACCUAUAAGUAUUUGUUAGUCAAACGUCAAUAAAGCUGGUAAGACAAAAGAAACA
RNAcentral lists this long non-coding RNA (594 nucleotides) under Canis lupus dingo (dingo). Its description in RNAcentral is "lncRNA (ENSCAFG00020001915.1)". The record is from RNAcentral. Lineage: Eukaryota; Metazoa; Chordata; Mammalia; Carnivora; Canidae.